RNAcentral lists this ribosomal RNA (256 nucleotides) under uncultured bacterium. RNAcentral describes it as "partial 16S ribosomal RNA". It matches the Rfam family "Bacterial small subunit ribosomal RNA", at positions 524 to 776 of the family's 1533-position model. The record is from RNAcentral.
UACAGAGGUCCCAAGCGUUUGUUCGGAUUCACUGGGCGUAAAGGGUGCGCAGGUGGGCUGAUAAGUUCGAUGUGAAAGCCCCGGGCUUAACCCGGGAAUGGCAUUGGAAACUGUUGGUCUGGAGGGUUGGAGGGGGGGACUGGAAUUCCUGGUGUAGCGGUGAAAUGCGCAGAUAUCAGGAGGAACACCAACAGCGAAGGCAGCACUCUGGGCCGGUACUGACGCUGAGGAGCGAAAGCAUGGGGGAGCGAACAGG